AAUGAACGCUGGCGGCGUGCCUAACACAUGCAAGUCGUACGAGAAAGGGGCUUCGGCCCUGAGUAGAGUGGCGCACGGGUGAGUAACGCGUGGGUAAUCUACCCUUGGAUUUGGGAUAACUCUGCGAAAGUGGAGCUAAUACCGGAUAGUCUGGCUUUUAAUAGGAGUCGGUAAAGGAUGCCUCUGCAUAUGCAUUCGUCCGAGGAUGAGCCCGCGUCUCAUUAGCUAGUUGGUAGGGUAAUGGCCUACCAAGGCAACGAUGAGUAGCUGGUCUGAGAGGAUGAUCAGCCACACUGGAACUGAAACACGGUCCAGACUCCUACGGGAGGCAGCAGUGGGGAAUAUUGCGCAAUGGGCGAAAGCCUGAUGCAGCGACGCCGCGUGAGGGAUGACGGCCUCGGUUGG
Molecule: ribosomal RNA, 405 nt
Filed under: uncultured bacterium
Lineage: Bacteria
Description: bacterial SSU rRNA
Rfam family: Bacterial small subunit ribosomal RNA
Source: RNAcentral